UGGGGAAUAUUGCACAAUGGGCGCAAGCCUGAUGCAGCCAUGCCGCGUGUGUGAAGAAGGCCUUCGGGUUGUAAAGCACUUUCAGCGAGGAGGAAGGUGGUGAGCUUAAUACGCUCAUCAAUUGACGUUACUCGCAGAAGAAGCACCGGCUAACUCCGUGCCAGCAGCCGCGGUAAUACGGAGGGUGCAAGCGUUAAUCGGAAUUACUGGGCGUAAAGCGCACGCAGGCGGUUUGUUAAGUCAGAUGUGAAAUCCCCGGGCUCAACCUGGGAACUGCAUUUGAAACUGGCAAGCUAGAGUCUCGUAGAGGGGGGUAGAAUUUCCAGGUGUAGCGGUGAAAUGCGUAGAGAUCUGGAGGAAUACCGGUGGCGAAGGCGGCCCCCCUGGACGAAGACUGACGCUCAGGUGCGAAAGCGUGGGGCAGCAAACAGGAUUAGAUACCCUGGUAGUCCAGCGCUGUAAACGAUGUCGAUUUGGAGGUUGUGCCCUUGAGGCGUGGCUUCCGGAGCUAACGCGUUAAAUCGACCGCCUGGGGAGUACGGCCGCAAGG
Molecule: ribosomal RNA, 550 nt
Filed under: uncultured bacterium
Lineage: Bacteria
Description: partial 16S ribosomal RNA
Rfam family: Bacterial small subunit ribosomal RNA
Source: RNAcentral